UGCUGUUUGUGCUUAGCGCUUUUAGGGGACAACUGGAGCUUCUGGAGGAGGAGCAAAGAGGUGGGAAGAGUACUGAAAAUGAAUGUGAUUCUCAAUGGAAGAGUUAGCUCUGGUUAGCCAAUGCUGUGAGACAGGGCGUUGAGACUUCCUGCAAAGCUUAUGGACUCCAAGCCCUGCAUUGCCCCUUCUUCCACACUGAUUCACCUGAUUUCCAAGUAUGCGUUGAUUCAGAGACUCCCUGGUCUCACGUUCAUUUCAUCAGCAUCUGGCAGGUAAUCACAGCAUUCUUUCCAGUAAAAAAAAAAGGUUUGGGCUCGGAUUCUGGGGAGCCAAGAUGGUGGAGUGAAAAGGUAGUCACACUCUCACUUUCCCCUGUAAACCUCUGAAAACCCAGAAAAUAUCACCCCAGAAAAAAAGCCCUGGAGCAGCUGAACUAGAAGAAAGACGAGGAGCAGCAGUGCAGCAGCCCAGCAAAUAGGUCUCCCAGUGCCUUAGCAAAAAUAAGGGAGGCAGAACUACAAGGGGCCCCAGGUGGAUAAGCACCCUGGGGCAUUUGUCUGAAAGGAGGUGAAGAAAGCAAUCUAAAGUCUUCCUAAAGCCCUGGCCUUGCUGGUUCCAGCCCAACACCAGGUGAGCUGUCAGAACCCUGCAGCCUCCAAUUGUGAAGAAAUCCUGAAGCCCAGGUGGUGGAACAGGCAAACACCAACACUCAGUGCCUCAGUGUGGGGGGGACCAGUGGAAACCAGCUCAGAAAACCACCAGGUGCUUCAGCAUGCUACCACAAAGGAAUUAGUAGAAAUGAGGGAGACAACACUGCAGGGGCCCCCACGCAGAUAAACACCUUGCACACUCAUCUAAAAGGAGCUGAAAAAAAUCUAAAAGAAAGGAAAAAUAGGCAACCUAGAAUUGCCUUAAAGUUCCAGCCUUGCUGAUUCCAGUCCAACACAAGGAAAGCUGCCAGAACCCUACAGCCUCCAAUUGCCAACAUAAGUGGCCCCAGCACACAAAGCCAGUGACCAAGACCUAGGCUCCCAACACAAGAAGCUUGGGUCAGUGCCUUCUGCCCCAGCAGGAGAGCUCAAUCUCUUUAAAGGCCAG
RNAcentral lists this long non-coding RNA (1098 nucleotides) under Phascolarctos cinereus (koala). RNAcentral's name for it is "lncRNA (ENSPCIG00000035407.1)". The record is from RNAcentral. Lineage: Eukaryota; Metazoa; Chordata; Mammalia; Diprotodontia; Phascolarctidae.